AGUUACCCUGGGUUCGGGUA
This 20-nucleotide non-coding RNA is filed under the name Rattus norvegicus (Norway rat). The record is from RNAcentral. Lineage: Eukaryota; Metazoa; Chordata; Mammalia; Rodentia; Muridae.